Molecule: ribosomal RNA, 301 nt
Filed under: uncultured bacterium
Lineage: Bacteria
Description: partial 16S ribosomal RNA
Rfam family: Bacterial small subunit ribosomal RNA
Source: RNAcentral
CAGUAGCCACGGUAAUACGUAGGGUGCGAGCGUUAAUCGGAAUUACUGGGCGUAAAGCGUGCGCAGGCGGUUAUAUAAGACAGAUGUGAAAUCCCCGGGCUCAACCUGGGACCUGCAUUUGUGACUGUAUAGCUAGAGUACGGUAGAGGGGGAUGGAAUUCCGCGUGUAGCAGUGAAAUGCGUAGAUAUGCGGAGGAACACCGAUGGCGAAGGCAAUCCCCUGGACCUGUACUGACGCUCAUGCACGAAAGCGUGGGGAGCAAACAGGAUUAGAUACCCGGGUAGUCCCUGUCUCUUAUAC